Non-coding RNA from Paenibacillus swuensis, 172 nucleotides. Lineage: Bacteria; Bacillati; Bacillota; Bacilli; Caryophanales; Paenibacillaceae. The record is from Rfam.
AGAACCUUUAAAAACAGUCCCGUGAGGCUGGCAAGGUUACGUUAAGAGGUCGAAUCCGGAUUUCGGUCGGAGUGCAUGCGUGCAGUCUAGCAGAAUCACUGAGGAUUCAUGGCUUUCUAUAGGUGUACGAACGUACAACCUCCUUGUCUACGGGCAUGGGGGUUUUUUUUGU